UACGUAGGGUGCGAGCGUUGUCCGGAAUUAUUGGGCGUAAAGGGCUCGUAGGCGGUUUGUCGCGUCGGGAGUGAAAUCCACUGGCUUAACUGGUGGCUUGCUUUCGAUACGGGCAGACUGGAGGUAUGCAGGGGAGAACGGAAUUCCUGGUGUAGCGGUGAAAUGCGUAGAUAUUGGGAGGAACACCAGUGGCGAAGGCGGCUCACUGGACCGGAACUGACGCUGAGGCGCGAAAGCGUGGGGAGCAAACGGG
Molecule: ribosomal RNA, 253 nt
Filed under: uncultured bacterium
Lineage: Bacteria
Description: partial 16S ribosomal RNA
Rfam family: Bacterial small subunit ribosomal RNA
Source: RNAcentral